Molecule: ribosomal RNA, 845 nt
Filed under: uncultured bacterium
Lineage: Bacteria
Description: bacterial SSU rRNA
Rfam family: Bacterial small subunit ribosomal RNA
Source: RNAcentral
AGAGUUUGAUCAUGGCUCAGGCCCUUCGCUGGCGGCGUGCCUAACACAUGCAAGUCGAACGACCCUUCCCUUCCGAUGAAUGGACCAGCUUGCUGGGAAAGGAAUCAAUUGGGAUGACUGAGUGGCGGACGGGUGAGUACCGCGUGGGUAACCUGCCCCAUAGAGGGGGACAACAGCUGGAAACGGCUGCUAAUACCGCAUAGCAGGGAAGAGACGCAUGUCUUUUUCUUCAAAGAUUUAUCGCUAUGGGAUGGACCCGCGUCUGAUUAGCUAGUUGGCAGGGUAACGGCCCACCAAGGCGACGAUCAGUAGCCGGACUGAGAGGUUGGCCGGCCACAUUGGGACUGAGAUACGGCCCAGACUCCUACGGGAGGCAGCAGUGGGGAAUAUUGGGCAAUGGACGCAAGUCUGACCCAGCAACGCCGCGUGAAGGAAGAAGGCUUUCGGGUUGUAAACUUCUUUUAAGGGGGAAGAGCAGAAGACGGUACCCCUUGAAUAAGCCACGGCUAACUACGUGCCAGCAGCCGCGGUAAUACGUAGGUGGCAAGCGUUGUCCGGAUUUACUGGGUGUAAAGGGCGUGCAGCCGGAGAGACAAGUCAGAUGUGAAAUCCACGGGCUCACCCCGUGAACUGCAUUUUGAAACUGUUUCCCUUGAGUGUCGGAGAGGUAAUCGGAAUUCCUUGUGUAGCGGUGAAAUGCGUAAAUAUAAAGAACACACCCCUGGCGAAGGCGGAUUACUGGACCAAUAACUGAACGUGAAGCGCGAAACCGUGGGGGAGCAAAACAGGAUUAAAUACCCUGGUAUCCCACGCUGUAAAAGAUCAAUACUAAGGGGGGCGGCGAC